CCUACGGGAGGCAGCAGUGGGGAAUAUUGGACAAUGGGCGCAAGCCUGAUCCAGCCAUACCGCGUGGGUGAAGAAGGCCUUCGGGUUGUAAAGCCCUUUUGUUGGGAAAGAAAUCCAGCCGGCUAAUACCUGGUUGGGAUGACGGUACCCAAAGAAUAAGCACCGGCUAACUUCGUGCCAGCAGCCGCGGUAAUACGAAGGGUGCAAGCGUUACUCGGAAUUACUGGGCGUAAAGCGUGCGUAGGUGGUUGUUUAAGUCUGUUGUGAAAGCCCUGGGCUCAACCUGGGAACUGCAGUGGAAACUGGACAACUAGAGUGUGGUAGAGGGUAGCGGAAUUCCCGGUGUAGCAGUGAAAUGCGUAGAGAUCGGGAGGAACAUCCAUGGCGAAGGCAGCUACCUGGACCAACACUGACACUGAGGCACGAAAGCGUGGGGAGCAAACAGGAUUAGAUACCCUGGUAGUCCACGCCCUAAACGAUGCGAACUGGAUGUUGGGUGCAAUUUGGCACGCAGUAUCGAAGCUAACGCGUUAAGUUCGCCGCCUGGGGAGUACGG
Molecule: ribosomal RNA, 556 nt
Filed under: uncultured Gammaproteobacteria bacterium
Lineage: Bacteria; Pseudomonadati; Pseudomonadota; Gammaproteobacteria
Description: bacterial SSU rRNA
Rfam family: Bacterial small subunit ribosomal RNA
Source: RNAcentral